RNAcentral lists this ribosomal RNA (484 nucleotides) under uncultured bacterium. Its description in RNAcentral is "partial 16S ribosomal RNA". It matches the Rfam family "Bacterial small subunit ribosomal RNA", at positions 29 to 507 of the family's 1533-position model. The record is from RNAcentral.
AUUGAACGCUGGCGGCAUGCUUUACACAUGCAAGUCGAACGGCAGCGCGGGCUUCGGCCUGGCGGCGAGUGGCGAACGGGUGAGUAAUACAUCGGAACGUGCCCAGUAGUGGGGGAUAGCUCGGCGAAAGCCGGAUUAAUACCGCAUACGACCUGAGGGUGAAAGCGGGGGAUCUUCGGACCUCGCGCUAUUGGAGCGGCCGAUGGCAGAUUAGCUAGUUGGUGGGGUAAAGGCCUACCAAGGCGACGAUCUGUAGCUGGUCUGAGAGGACGACCAGCCACACUGGGACUGAGACACGGCCCAGACUCCUACUGGAGGCAGCAGUGGGGAAUUUUGGACAAUGGGCGAAAGCCUGAUCCAGCAAUGCCGCGUGUGUGAUGAAGGCCUUCGGGUUGUAAAGCACUUUUGGCGGGAACGAAAAGGACUGUGCCAAUACCACGGUUCGAUGACGGUACCCGCAGAAUAAGCACCGGCUAACUACGUG